RNAcentral lists this transfer RNA (77 nucleotides) under Candidatus Saccharimonadota bacterium. RNAcentral's name for it is "tRNA-Arg". It matches the Rfam family "tRNA". Rfam says of the family: Transfer RNA (tRNA) molecules are approximately 80 nucleotides in length. Their secondary structure includes four short double-helical elements and three loops (D, anti-codon, and T loops). Lineage: Bacteria; Candidatus Saccharimonadota. The record is from RNAcentral.
GCCUCCGUAGCUCAGUGGAUUAGAGCACUUGUCUUCGGAACAAGGGGUCGUAGGUUCGAAUCCUAUCGGAGGUACCA